This 253-nucleotide ribosomal RNA is filed under the name uncultured bacterium. Its description in RNAcentral is "partial 16S ribosomal RNA". It matches the Rfam family "Bacterial small subunit ribosomal RNA", at positions 524 to 776 of the family's 1533-position model. The record is from RNAcentral.
UACGAAGGGUGCAAGCGUUAAUCGGAAUUACUGGGCGUAAAGCGCGCGUAGGUGGUUCAGUAAGUUGGAAGUGAAAUCCCCGGGCUCAACCUGGGAAUUGCAUUCAAAACUGGCUAACUAGAAUACGGGAGAGGGGGGUAGAAUUCCAAGUGUAGCGGUGAAAUGCGUAGAGAUUUGGAGGAAUACCAGUGGCGAAGGCGGCCCCCUGGCCCGAUAUUGACGCUGAGGUGCGAAAGCGUGGGGAGCAAACAGG